This is a long non-coding RNA of Zingiber officinale, 835 nucleotides long. RefSeq lists it as uncharacterized. Lineage: Eukaryota; Viridiplantae; Streptophyta; Magnoliopsida; Zingiberales; Zingiberaceae. The record is from RefSeq and is a predicted model, not a curated record. The transcript is spliced from 6 exons.
UAUCUUCCCGAACCCCUCUCACAACUCCUCAUCUCAUGCCUAUCUUCCCGAACCCCUCUCACGCCCUCUCCUUCCAACUCCUCCUCUUAUGUCCUCUCCAUCCAACUCCUCUCCAGCAAACCCCUCUCCGGCGAACUCCUCUCCGCGAACCUCCUCUCCUCUGAAUUCCUUCACCUCUUCGUCAAAUAGCAAAUGCCCUAAUCACUCCGCUCUUGGAUCGCCGCCUCCGCACUAGAUCUACUCGUCGGUGGUUUCCUCUGCAAAAAUGGCAAAUGCUUGGAUUUCAAGAGCAUCAAAGUAUCGGAGUUCAGUUUGGAAGGUUAGCGACAAAUGGCCAGGUUAUAAUGCCAGUGACUCAGAUUCUGAUGAGGAGAAGAUUAACAUCAAAUCAUCAGCAGAAGGACCUGGUUCAUAAGUUUACAGAAGCGGAGUAUUCUCGAGAAGAAAUUGAUGAGGUGCGAUCGGAGUUGGCAGAAUAUAUACAAGAUCAUAUUUAUGAGUAGGUCAAACAAAAUAUGACUGACAGAACUCAUCAACUUCUAGAUGCUUGAUCAAAGGGCAGAUACACAGUGAUAGGUGUUUUGUCCCAGUCUCAAGCCGUCAAUCCAUUUUGAUCAAUAUAUCUAGUAGAAGUAAGCAUGCAGAUCGUUGUCUUCGAGGCCGGCUAGCUAUUUUGUACUUUUUUUAUUUUAAAUUUGAAUGCCACUAACUAUUUUGAAACAGAAAUAUUUAGUCUUUGUGUAUAGUUGAAUUCUCCUGUAAAUACGAAUACUUUGUAGUUGAAUUCUAUUGUUUGGUACGAGUUUGAAAUCAUUAGCUGAGCUAAUUAAUGCUA